This 522-nucleotide ribosomal RNA is filed under the name uncultured bacterium. RNAcentral's name for it is "partial 16S ribosomal RNA". It matches the Rfam family "Bacterial small subunit ribosomal RNA", at positions 28 to 523 of the family's 1533-position model. The record is from RNAcentral.
GACGAACGCUGGCGGCGUGCCUAAUACAUGCAAGUCGAACGCUUUUUCUUUCACCGGAGCUUGCUCCAUCGAAAGAAAAAGAGUGGCGAACGGGUGAGUAACACGUGGGUAACCUGCCCAUCAGAAGGGGAUAACACUUGGAAACAGGUGCUAAUACCGUAUAACACUAUUUUCCGCAUGGAAGAAAGUUGAAAGGCGCUUUUGCGUCACUGAUGGAUGGACCCGCGGUGCAUUAGCUAGUUGGUGAGGUAACGGCUCACCAAGGCAACGAUGCAUAGCCGACCUGAGAGGGUGAUCGGCCACACUGGGACUGAGACACGGCCCAGACUCCUACGGGAGGCAGCAGUAGGGAAUCUUCCGCAAUGGACGAAAGUCUGACGGAGCAACGCCGCGUGAGUGAAGAAGGUUUUCGGAUCGUAAAACUCUGUUGUUAGAGAAGAACAAGGAUGAGAGUAACUGCUCGUCCCUUGACGGUAUCUAACCAGAAAGUCAUGGCUAACUACGUGCCAGCCGCCGCGGUAA